CCUACGGGCGGCAGCAGUGGGGAAUAUUGGACAAUGGGCGAAAGCCUGAUCCAGCCAUGCCGCGUGUGUGAAGAAGGCCUUCGGGUUGUAAAGCACUUUCAGUGGGGAAGAAAGCCUUGGGGCUAAUACCCUCGAGGAAGGACAUCACCCACAGAAGAAGCACCGGCUAACUCCGUGCCAGCAGCCGCGGUAAUACGGAGGGUGCGAGCGUUAACCGGAAUUACUGGGCGUAAAGCGCGCGUAGGCGGUCUGAUAAGCCGGUUGUGAAAGCCCCGGGCUCAACCUGGGAACGGCAUCCGGAACUGUCAGGCUAGAGUGCAGGAGAGGAAGGUAGAAUUCCCGGUGUAGCAGUGAAAUGCGUAGAGAUCGGGAGGAAUACCAGUGGCGAAGGCGGCCUUCUGGACUGACACUGACGCUGAGGUGCGAAAGCGUGGGUAGCAAACAGGAUUAGAUACCCCGGUAGUC
This 465-nucleotide ribosomal RNA is filed under the name Vreelandella stevensii. RNAcentral describes it as "partial 16S ribosomal RNA". It matches the Rfam family "Bacterial small subunit ribosomal RNA", at positions 338 to 795 of the family's 1533-position model. The record is from RNAcentral. Lineage: Bacteria; Pseudomonadati; Pseudomonadota; Gammaproteobacteria; Oceanospirillales; Halomonadaceae.